AGUGAACGCUGGCGGUAGGCCUAACACAUGCAAGUCGAACGGCAGCACAGUAAGAGCUUGCUCUUACGGGUGGCGAGUGGCGGACGGGUGAGGAAUACAUCGGAAUCUACUUUUUCGUGGGGGAUAACGUAGGGAAACUUACGCUAAUACCGCAUACGACCUACGGGUGAAAGCAGGGGAUCUUCGGACCUUGCGCGAUUGAAUGAGCCGAUGUCGGAGUAGCUAGUUGGCGGGGUAAAGGCCCACCAAGGCGACGAUCCGUAGCUGGUCUGAGAGGAUGAUCAGCCACACGGGAACUGAGAAACGGUACAGACUCCUGCGGGAGGCAGGAGUGGGGAAUAGUGGACAAUGGGCGAAAGCCUGAUCCAGCCAGACCGCGUGGGUGAAGAAGGCCUUCGGGUUGUAAAGCCCUUUUGUUGGGAAAGAAAAGCAGAAGGUUAAUACCCCGCUGUUCUGACGGUACCCAAAGAAUAAGCACCGGCUAACUUCGUG
Molecule: ribosomal RNA, 492 nt
Filed under: uncultured bacterium
Lineage: Bacteria
Description: partial 16S ribosomal RNA
Rfam family: Bacterial small subunit ribosomal RNA
Source: RNAcentral